GAAGGGCUGAGAUUCAGCCAUACUGCUAAAUAGUUCGGUGAUAACCUCCUUCAAAUGUUAUACUACUGAUGUCUGUUAGGGCUGAGGAUCCUGGGGAAAAGUCUUGAAUUCUGUCCUUUAUUGGGUUUGAUUAUGGAUAGGACUUAUGGGCUGAAGUGGCCCAGGCAGAGGCCCACCUGCAGAGAUCUGGAAGCCCCAAGAGAAAAUUCACUGUAAGAGAAGGAGCAGUCUGACAGGGCAAGCCCCUCUUCGCAAGCGGAUAGAAUGUUGGAGGCAAGCUGAAGGUCCCAGUAUAUCCUGAGUCUGUGGGUGUGAACUGAGCUGUGUUGAUGGAUGCUAUAAUGCUGGAGUUCAGAAAGUUGUGCUGGUCAUCUGUAUGCAAAAGGAACACUCUAGCCUCAUAGCCCUUCGGAGUCCUGGAAUGGCAGAUCCUCUGGCCAACCAAUUUAGGGCACAAUGACAGGAGUGGUCCUCCCUCCUGGGGUACAUCUGUGGAAUCAUCAGGCCCAAAGCUGCAAAAGCUUGACCUGAGCAGCCAUAGCAACCCACUUAGGAUCAUGUGCACCCUUAGGAUUCCUAGAAUAUUUGAGAAGGAAGGAUUUUCCUUGAGGUAGGACUCCCUACAUUUGCAUAGAUGAGCACACAAAGCCAUUGAGAUUCAGAAAUUAACAUGAAACAACUUCAUUUGUACUCAUGGCUGAUUAAGGCUAGGAAAGUUUUCCUUUCUACUACAUUUUAAAAUGGGUAAGUGAACAGGAUUUUUGAGACACUCAAGAAAGUAAUCAAUUAGUAUAGCUUGUAUCUUCAUUAAAUAGUCUGGGCCGCACAUGGCCCAUGGUCUGUACUCCACAGCCCCACAGCCACUCUGCUCUCAUGUCAUGUCACUCUUCCAUUCACUCACUGCUCUCCAGCACCCACUGGCCAGCUUCUCUUUUCAUGUGCACCCAGCUAUUCUGAGUCUGGAUCACAUUUUCCUGCCCUGUCUCCUCAAAUAUCCACCGACCUUGCUCUCUCUCUGUUUGCUCUCUGUUCAAAUGUCACCUUGUUGGUGACACCUUGCCUAACUUUCUUAUAUGAGAAAGCAACACCUGCCCCUCACUUUAUUUUUCCCUGAAGCACUUUGCACUAACUUACUAUAUAUUUACUUGUUUGUUAUUGAGUGUACCUUUCUCAUUAGAGUGGGAGCUCCAUGAGGGCAGGAACUCCAUUAGUUUUAUCUAUUGAUGUAUCCCCAGCAACCAGAACAAUGUCUGUGACAUAGUAUAUACUCUGUAAACUUGAUUCAUGAAUGGCCCCUACUGCCUGCCUGCCUUCAUUCAUUAAUCAAUUCAUUCAACAAACACUGAGCCCUGUAGGUGCUGGAUAUACUGGAUAGCAGAGGACCAAAGAUGAACAAGCUAGCUUCUGUCCUCAAUUAGGUCACAAUAUGAGGAGGGACAAAGAAAGGCAAACUUAACUAGAAAUGCAUUGUACUGAGUUUACAGGGGGUGCAGCAGGAAAGGAUCAAGAAAAAGGGGGCAGUGUUGAGUUGAUUCCUGUGGGCGAGGAUGAUUACAAUGGUGAACAUUUAUUGAGUGUUUCCUGUGUGCCAUCUCUCCAUUAAACAAUGAAUACAGUAUCAUUUAAGGCUGUUAACAGUUUUCUGACAUAACUGCUAAUAUUACCUUUAUCUUAGGGAUGCAGAAAUAGGCUCAGAAAGCACCAAGGUCAUAGAGCUAAUACUUGGAACUGAGAUUCAAACUUGGCUUUUUCUGGUUCCAGAUCUCAAGCUGUAACUAUGUGCUGGGCAGACAAGCAGGGAAGACAUUGUGAGCAGAAGAAACACUAUAUCCCAAGGAUUGAAACCUUACCAUGUGUAGUCAGGUAACAGCAAAGAUUCAAGGAAGUGUGAAAAGAGAUGAGGUAGGAGUGUAUGACACUUAGAAGGUGGCCUUAGAGGACACAGGUUUGCAUACCUGUUACUGAUUCCUUUCUCUUUCCUCCUUCCAGAGUAGCUUGCUUUUGCUACUGUAUUAGGCUUCUGAAUAUGCUUCGAUCUGAAAGAAAAAUUUCAUGGCUGAAGCAGGGGGUAGUGGGGGCAGGGAUUGACUAUGUGGUUGUAGUGUCCCUGAUCGGAGAUGGAGUUCUUGAGUAGGAUAGUAACUUUGCGAAUGAAGGGGAGACAACAGGAAGAUCUUCGGAGAGAGAACUGCUGGAGCUUGCUCUGCAUUGGCUGUCAGAAUCAGAGAAAGAAGGUGCUACGCCUGGGUGAAUGGGAGGAUGGGGUACCAUUAAUGAGGACAGAGCAUCUAGGGGAAAGCUGCAUGGAAGUGGUGAAGAUGAAGGAUGAGGGUGAUCUGCUGUACCCGUGGCUCCCCGAGGAAGGGAGAUGCCCCGUGCUGGUCUGGGUGCAUAAGGCCAGAGCUCCAAGUGGAGUCACAGAACUGACAGACAUCAGCUACUAAGUAGUUCUUCAAGUUGCUGCCAAGAAAGAUACGCACUAGACUUGGAGUGGAAUCUUUAGGAAUGCCAGAUGUGAAUGCUAGGAAUCUUCUCAGUAGGGACAUCUUUGGAUGGGUAUUAUGUUGUUUUCAGAUCAUUUGUUCUGACAUAUCAUACACAUAUGUCUAAACCAACCAGGGACGUUUUUGACAUUUUCUUGGUUUAAAAAAAGUAUUCAAGGGCCUGAGAGGUCUUGCACCAUUUUCUUCUGUAAAUGUCUGAGUAAAAUGUCAGGUUGGAAGCCCCUUCAGCCUACUUGGCUGCUUUUUUCCCCAGUGGCUUCCACAACCCCAUCUGGAAUCACAGCCACAGUGAUCACCCUUAUCCAUGAAAUGUGAUCAGAAACUUGAUAUAGACCCAUUUCAGCCCAGCCUUUUGCCCAGCUCACAGUACUCACUAAGUGUCCAGGUGAAACCCAGUCAGGGCUCCCGGCCAUUACCCCUGCAGGAGCCCUUCACUUCAGAGUGGUAGCUAGCACAGAGCACACUGGUGGUGAGGAUCUUGGUUGCAGACCUUUGCCAAGUGCCCGUGUGCACAAAGGGCAAAUCUACAUACAGGAGGACCCAGGGAAUAGGGCCAGGGUAAGAUGGAGAGCCCCAGCUACUCACUAUCUUCGUUCUCCCCUCCUUGGUCAGCGGUGUCCCAGGUUCUGGUUGGGAAGGCAGAGGGGAAGAAUGAAUUUGCCUCACACCACAUCCCAGCUCAGGUAGCACAGGGCCACGGUGGUACUGAUGUGGGGAAGGGAGUGGGACUCUUCAUGGUGGUCUUCUUUUCAUCUGCUCACUCAGGGACAUAUUGAGAUCACUUACGGUGGCAGGAUGGGAAUGAGAAUGAAAGUGGCAAGAAAGGGCAUUGAUGCCCACUGCACAGAGAGGUCAUGAAGAUGAAAGUGCUCAGGAUGUCCAGCACACACUAGAAACAGUAUUACAUGCUCAGGCUCUGGAGUUUGCCCAGACCUAGCCUUGAAUCCUGGCAGAGCCAAUUACUGAUGGAGUGAGAGUCUUCUCAUGCUCUGGAUAAUGGAAAAAAAGCUCUCUGUAAAAUUGAAGCUGCAGCUGGAUUAAGAUGGAAAUGCUAUCUACAGGCUCAAGUCUAACCUGGCCCUGUGCAGUGUCAUAACUCCAGAAGG
Long non-coding RNA from Lontra canadensis (Northern American river otter), 3610 nucleotides. RefSeq lists it as uncharacterized. The record is from RefSeq and is a predicted model, not a curated record. Lineage: Eukaryota; Metazoa; Chordata; Mammalia; Carnivora; Mustelidae. The transcript is spliced from 3 exons.